UCUAUAAAAAGCUUAAUCAACCUAAUCCUUGGGAAUUUUAGUAGUCCAGUUGGUUGGCUACCUGAAUUUUCACCUGUUGGUGAGGGUUAAAUCCCCCAAAAUACUAAGAAAUAAGAAAGAAAAAAAACUAAUCAUUAUCAGUGAUCAAGGUUCACAGGAGCUGGAAAACCAAAGCAAUGAACAAACAUGUCUUGUCAAAUAGCAUGGGGAUGAGAAGGCCAUCAUUGGUUCUCCAGAAGUAUUG
RNAcentral lists this unclassified non-coding RNA (244 nucleotides) under Hevea brasiliensis (rubber tree). Lineage: Eukaryota; Viridiplantae; Streptophyta; Magnoliopsida; Malpighiales; Euphorbiaceae. The record is from RNAcentral.